GAUUGAGUUGCAGAAUGUUUUGGAUCCGAUCGGGCAGGUCAAAACACGUGGCGCGAUUGUGGAUCAAAGUGCCGCUAUUUAACUGUAUCCAUAACCUUCCCGUCCUCUCCUUCUGAGAUAACGUUACGCACGUACGGAGAUUAAACGUGUGUUGUAUUGGUAGUGCCAUGACGCGGCUGCCAUACAUAUACACAUGCUUUACGUUUUCUUUGUCUCUUUUAGUAUCGUGCACGCUUCUCUUCGCCCACCUCGCCGUUUCCGCUCUUCUCGCAAUCAAUUCUGUACAAUUAAGGGCGAGGCGACAGUGUCAGUAUAAGUAAUUUCGUAGAUUAUAGUGAUAUGUACAGUGCUUUCAAGUUUUUGGCUGACUUUGCAGAAAGCAUGCGAUUGUUGGCUAGUGAUUAAUUCUUAUUUUAGGUAUGAACCGUUGCACACGGCUUGUGUCGUCUGUGUUCCGCGUUGUUAUUGUAGAUGUGUGUUGUAUCUGUAAUGUAGACAGAGGAAUGCGCGAAAAACGUGAAACGAGAAAAUGAUUGCGAUUUAUCAUUGCAAUAAAGCGUAAUGAUACGUAGUUGGUUAUGUUGAAGUGAGGGAAGAUCACGUGCAUUCUGAAGAGAUUAUGAGCACCGAUUACGUUUGGGGAGAUCGGAUGAACGUAUGAAGGAGUUCACAUGGACCCUCACUGUAGCGUGCAGUGACCCCAUAGUGCUUUGUGAAUCGUUUUGAUGCACGAAAAUUGGUUUGUAAAACUGUAGAAGAAACAAUUGUAUAUUCAAUAAGUAACAAAGAUACAAAAAGGAAGUUCGUUAUUAAAGAAGAAAGUUGGAGAAAUUGACUUCUUUUUUUUUCUAGAUCAUUAGGUAUGGAGACUUCCAAGGCCUCACAAAUGAAAGCAUAUUCUUUUGUUAUAUAAACUGUGUUGUGUGUCUUGAAUUCAUCAAGCAAUUAUCUAGGAAUGUUAGAAUGCUAUAUUUGUAACUAUGUUUGAAUAAUUUGAAAUGCUUGUCUAGCAUUAUUACAAUAGCCCAGUUUAUAAUGAUUUUGAAUUACCAUUUACGUCACUUGUAAAUUAUUCUAUAAAAUAGGUAAAUGCUAUGCUUAUGACAUAAUAGCUUCACGCAGUAUGCAAUUAGCUAUAAUUAAUCAAGAUGAAUUAUUAAUGUUCGACAAUUGUACAUGUGUAUUGGAUAAUACAAUUACAUAAAAUAUGCUUAUCGUAAGGUCAUUAACAAGCUGCUGUAUUCUAUUAUCACUUAAUUAUGUGCUUAGUAAUAUGUUCAAUUAAGCAAGGAUUUAUUGAUGUCUUAAUUUUCAGAUUUUCAUAUUUUUAAAUUUAUAGAUUUGACAUUUUGCUAAAUUAAAAUUUUCAAAGUCACAAGUUUACAAAUGAAGUUGAAAAUUGAAGUUGUCAAAAUGGCAGAUAUCCAGUAUUCAAUUUUAGAAAAUAAAAAUGUGUUUCUACUACUAUUUCACAUUGUGAACAUACUUUUAUUUAUUAUGCGAAUUCGAAUUAUUGCAAAGUAAAGAUAUUUAUGUUUGUAUUCUACUGUCUUCUUCUUAUCAGUUAAGUACUUCAGUAAUCCCAGGUUUAAUUAAACAAAGAUGUAUUGAUGUUUUCAUUUCUCAAUGUGCAUAUUUUUAAAUUUGGAUAUUUGGUAUUUUGAUAAAUUAGAAUUUUCAAAAGUUACUAGUUUACAAAUAUUGAAAAAUGAAGUUGUCAAGAUCUCAGAUAUCCAGUAUUCAAUUUUAGAAAAUAAAAAUAUAUCUCUAUUAUUAUUUCACAUUGUAAACAUUUUUUUGUUUAUCAUGCAAAUUGGAAUUAUUACAAAGUAAAGAUAUUUAUGUUUGUUUUAAGAUCAUUAACAAGCUACUGUGUUUUUGUUAUCAGUUAAGUAACUCAGUAAUCCCAGGUUUAAUUAAACAAAGAUGUACUGAUGUUUUCAUUUCUUAAUGUGCAUAAUUUUAAAUUUGGAUAUUUGGUAUUCUGAUAAAUUAGAAAUUUCAGAAGUUACAAGUUCACAAAUAUUAAAACCUGAAGUUGUCAAAAUGGCAGAUAUCCAGAUUUCAAUUUUAGAAAAUAAAAAUGUGUCUCUACUAGCAUUUCACAUUGUGAACAUUCUUUUACGACUUUGGUCCUUUCUCUACCACUUUUUUUUUAUUCCCCGCUAAUGACGCGUGUGUCAAGUGAAAUCCAUCAGUCCAUACACUUUAAAUCUCUCCAGAUUAAAAUUUCGCAACUAUGUGUAGAACGAUAAAUCUAUUCUACAAUAAUUCAACAAAUUUUUACUACCGAAUUAACUAGAUACUGUAAUCACCGAGGAAACAUUCAUCGUGGAGUAAUCGUAGCGCAAUGGUUACUUUUUUUAUCGCGAUGAUUUUCUCUUUUCAUAGACUCUUUGGAAAUUUUUAAUGAAUAGCGUCGUUUCUUUUCAUGUAUGACCAGUUGCAAAAGAACUUGAGUAUUUUUAUGCAACGAAUUCUAACGAGUUAGGUUUCGCAAAAAAGCAAACGUUUUAAUAUGAUUACACGUUGAAAUAGGAAAUUAUUAAGUAGUUGAGCAAUUUGUUUGUUUCCAGGUAGGAAAAGUUAGUAAUAUACUAUAGUUGCAGCUGUGUUAUAUACUUUUUGUAAUUUUUUGAUUCUCCUGUGUCAAUUUCGGGAUUUUAGGAUCUUUAAAUUUUUAGACUAUUGAAUUUUGGGACCACCAUUUCGAGACGGGAUGCGUUUGGAUUCUUGGAUUCAAAAAUUUUUAAAUUUUGUAAUUUUUUAUAUUGUAGCAAUCUCUCAGAGGUUAAUAAAAAUACAGAUUUCUUUGUAACAAGUUGCUGCACAAGAUAUUUUAUUAAUUCUCACAAAUCGUAUUAACAAAUAUAAAAAUCAUUUAUAAAAAUAACAUAACAUUGCAAAGUUGUCGUCAACAAAUAAAAUGAUACUACAUUUAUAAAAUGCAAAAAUAUCCAGAAUUUAGUUAAAGGAUUACUAAAUAAUCCUAUAUGAAGAAUAUAUAAAUAUAAAUAAAGGCAAAAUAGAGAUCACACAUUCUCGAAUAAAUUAAAUAAAAAAAAAGUUAGUUUCCUGAGAAGACAGUAGUUUAUCAGAUAACGAUCUUCUCACGACGAGAAAACAGUGGGACGUUGGUCAACGACGAUGACACGACGAUAAAUACAUCAUCUGAUAAUCCUUGUUGAAAAUUCUUGUCAACCAUCUUUCUGUAUUCCUGCAAAUAUCACAAAUAAAAAAUCAGUUUCUUGUAAAUUUAACUGUUGUGAGAUAGAUAAAAGGUAAUUCAUUAUCGUGUCUGACAGGUUAUCUUUUGCGUCUGUUCUAAAGGCUAUCCAGGAGAAAUAUUAUGUAACUAAUUUUUUUUUGGUUAUUUAGUGAGCUACAAUGUCGUGAUCCUGUAAAGUAAAUGACACAUAAUAAAUAUUAUAAUUUAUGUUAACAAUGUUCGUAAAUAACAAGAAGUUGGUGUAUCUACCUGUUAUGCUGUGCAAUCUGGUUUUAUCAGAACGAAUAAUUAGAAUGAUUCAUGGAAUGGUGCGGAGAUGUUUAAAAUUAGUUAUCGAGUAUGUGAAUCAUCGUGCAAACAACAUCCGUCGUUUAAACCGAGAUAAAAUUAUUUACGAAAGUAUUCGAACAUUUGUUUGUUGAAACGUUGAUAAUAAAAAUAUGCGAUUAUUUAAAAAUA
This 3688-nucleotide long non-coding RNA is filed under the name Megachile rotundata (alfalfa leafcutting bee). Its description in RNAcentral is "uncharacterized LOC105663502, transcript variant X1". Lineage: Eukaryota; Metazoa; Arthropoda; Insecta; Hymenoptera; Megachilidae. The record is from RNAcentral.